GAUGAACGCUGGCGGCGUGCCUAAUACAUGCAAGUCGAGCGAACAGACGAGGAGCUUGCUCCUUUGACGUUAGCGGCGGACGGGUGAGUAACACGUGGAUAACCUACCUAUAAGACUGGGAUAACUUCGGGAAACCGGAGCUAAUACCGGAUAACAUGUUGAACCGCAUGGUUCAACAGUGAAAGACGGUCCUGCUGUCACUUAUAGAUGGAUCCGCGCCGCAUUAGCUAGUUGGUAAGGUAACGGCUUACCAAGGCAACGAUGCGUAGCCGACCUGAGAGGGUGAUCGGCCACACUGGAACUGAGACACGGUCCAGACUCCUACGGGAGGCAGCAGUAGGGAAUCUUCCGCAAUGGGCGAAAGCCUGACGGAGCAACGCCGCGUGAGUGAAGAAGGUCUUCGGAUCGUAAAACUCUGUUAUUAGGGAAGAACAAAUGUGUAAGUAACUAUGCACGUCUUGACGGUACCUAAUCAGAAAGCCACGGCUAACUACGUG
RNAcentral lists this ribosomal RNA (497 nucleotides) under uncultured bacterium. Its description in RNAcentral is "partial 16S ribosomal RNA". It matches the Rfam family "Bacterial small subunit ribosomal RNA", at positions 28 to 507 of the family's 1533-position model. The record is from RNAcentral.